Molecule: ribosomal RNA, 403 nt
Filed under: uncultured bacterium
Lineage: Bacteria
Description: bacterial SSU rRNA
Rfam family: Bacterial small subunit ribosomal RNA
Source: RNAcentral
UUUUGGCCAAUGGGCGAAAGCCUGAUCCAGCCAUUCGCCGUGAGUGAAGAAGGCCUUCGGGUGGUAAAGCUCUUUGGCAAGGGAAGAAACGAUGCAGUCGAAUAAACUGUGUUAAUGACGGUACCUUGAUAAGAAGCACCGGCUAACUACGUGCCAGCAGCCGCGGUAAUACGUAGGGUGCAAGCGUUAAUCGGAAUUACUGGGCGUAAAGCGUGCGCAGGCGGUUUUGUAAGUCAGAUGUGAAAUCCCCGAGCUCAACUUGGGAACUGCGUUUGAAACUAUAAGACUAGAAUAUGUCAGAGGGGGGUAGAAUUCCCCGUGUAGCAGUGAAAUGCGUAGAGAUGGGAGGAAUACCAAGGCGAAGGCAGCCCCCUGGGCAUAAUAUUGACGCUCAUGCACGAAA